UAUAGGCAACUGAAACGCAAGGCAAUUGAACCAACGGUGAGCGCGGCAGGUAACGACGGCGACGGAAGAACAGACCGCCUCCGGCGCGACGGCAAGAAGAUGGCGGUGCUGGGGGCGGCAGGUGGCGGUGCGUUGAAACUCCUGCGGUGUUUUUUUCUUUCCCCGACGAAGUCCCUUGGGGAAGAGGGAGAAAAGUAUGGAGAAUUUUGUGGUCAUGAAUUCGAAAAAGGAACCACAACACUAGAGUGGGACAUAAGUGGCAUUUUCUAAGAUGGAUAAUUGCUUUGUACAGAUACUUCUUCAAAUGGGUUAGAGAAUGGGGACUUAAUUUGAGCAUCAAUCAUCCUCUCAUGGGUUAGAGAUAUUCACCAAAAAUGAGUCUCCAAUGGAGCUUGAAUCUGGAAAUUUUGGGUGCAUUCAUUACAGGAGGAAAUGCAAAAUCAGGGCACCCUAUUGUGAUGAGAUUUUUUAUUGUAGGCAUAGCCAUAAUGAAGCAAAGGUGUGGUCUUUAUUCUCUUAUUUGCUAUUUCCCCAUUUGCUCUUCUUUUCCCUGUUGAGAUGAGAUAAGAUUUGUUCCCUAAUUCUCACCUGCUAAUACCCCCUUCUCUAUUUAUGAUUGAACUGAACACACACUGGACAUAGAUCCUGGACAUAGUUUGCAUGGGGAAGUACUUUUGCCAGAAAUGCAAAUUCUUCUACGAUGACGCAUUUUUCAUUGUGUUACCCGUUGUUUAUUCUUCAAAAAAUUGGUAAAGCUGCUUGAUUAAAGAAGGUUAUGCAUAUCAGGUUUACUUUCAGCAAACAAAAGAUAGUUACAACUCAUGAAUGAAGAAGAGACUGGGUAUGCACGGAAGUCCAGUGCCUGAAACUCAACUAAUAGGCACCAGCGUCUGAAGUAGAACAAACAACUCCUUUCCAGGCGAGGUUCAGGCGGAACUAAUUGAUUUGGAAAGGAAGACGUUCUUGAUGGAGGCAAUUAUGAAAGAAAGCAUAGAGUUGCAGGACUUGACCAGAUAUCCCUACUAAAUUUAUAUUGUUACUAUCUACGUAAUGUCCACUUGAUUCUCACGGUCAAAGAUUUUUCGGGUACUAUAAAUUUGUCCUUUUGACCUUCUAGAAAAGAGUUUGGUAAAAAAAUAACCAUCUAGAGAAGAGUGAAAAACAUUCCAGGGAAACGAGUUAUCUUUUUCCUCUUAAUAGAUAAGGAAGUUUGUGCAUACUCUUUUCAGUUCUUUUGUAGACGGAGAAAAGGACAUUGGCAGUUGGAGUCUGGACUUCGUAAAAGUAUUUUGAAUUAUUAUCCGGUGUUGGAUUACAUGCAUAUGUACCCAUACAAAAUCAUACCCUUCCAAACCAACGAGCAUGUUCUUCAUGCGUAGCAUGUAGGCUAUCACCUAACCUAGUAAUAAAAGGACCAGUUUUGGGUUGCCAUAUUUAACCUCAAUUUUUUCAACUGUACCCCCUGAUUUUUAGGCGCGCCGUGUAGCCUUGUUUGCUGGAUUGGCUGGUGAUGGUGAUGCAUCCUUUUCAUUUAAAGGUCAUCAUUUUCAAUGCUGUAUCGUCUUUAUUUGAAGGUUAUCAUUUUCAGUGGGUCUUCGGGACAGUUUUUGUUUCGGACUGCUUUAUGCAAGUUAUUACAACUUAGAGUGGAAAUUGCAUGAGAAUCAUGACAUUUCAAGGUUUACUAGUUCCAUAUGGUUCUUGAACAGAUUCAACUUUUCGGUUGCUGUUGGAACAAUGGAAGGACCCCAAUUUUCUCCCGGCUACCUUCUCAAGGAAGUUUCUAUUGAUAAACCAUUUGAAAAAGAUGCUUGUUGCUGUCACUUCAACUUUGUCACAGAAAAAACUGGGAGCAGCAAUUCGGAUGUGGUCUUGAAGUACCAAUGGUUUGUAGGAGAAAGAACUCCUUCAAAUUUUAUUGCCAUCCCAGAGGCCACAGGAGAGGUGUACUUGCCUAAGCACGAGGACAUUGGCAUAAUUCUGAAAGUGGAGUGCACACCAGUCCUUGCUGGGACCGUGUAUCCUACAAUAUUUGCUAUUCUUCACGAGUUUCACCUGGUUUUGAAGAUUGAUGUGCGUGGGGAACUAAUGGAGGGAAACACUAUUAGGGGAUACGCUGAAGUUGCAUGGUGUGGUGGAGCUCCAGGAAAAGGGGUUGCUAGCUCCCCCAAAAGUAACAAAUUUGAAGAUAAUCGGUGACAUAAGGGAGGGAAAUAAGGUUACUGUCACCGGAGGAACUGAAUCAUCUAGCAGAGUUCAAUGGUUUAAAUCGACUUAUUCAACAUUAGAGGGUGAGAAUGGUCUUGACGCAUUCGGCACUUCAAAGAUUGCAAAGGAUUUCCGCAUACCAUUGGGAGCUGUUGGCUAUUUCGUUGUUGCAGAGUUUACUCCUAUGACUCUGAAUGGCGAGUCUGGUGAAUCGGCAUAUGUUAUAUCUGAAAGAGCAGUUGAAAGUAUUUCUACUCGAAUGCGAUGACCAACUGGUGAGGCCACAGGACUAGCAAACAACUUAGCGUUCCUGUCCCGGGCAUCCCCCUUCCCCAGUAAUUCCAUAACAUUCUUAUCCUAAAAAGGAAAGAUGAGAGAGUAUGUAAUGCAGUGAAAGGGUUUAGCUGUCCAGGGCAUCCCCCUUCCCCAGUAAUUCCAUUACAUUUCUUAUCCUAAAAAGGAAAGAUGAGAAGAGUAUGCCAUGCAGUGAAACGGUUUUGCAGUCCUUCCAAGAGGUAAAAACAACACUUGGUUGCCUGUUGCACCCUUUUGUAAGGGGGCAAGACGAAACCAUUUCGAUUUGAUUACCGGAGGCUGGCGGGGAUACUUGGCAAUUGCUGACUAGGUAAGUGGUGGAGGAUCCUUGUACACGCACACAACAAUCUAAACUCCCAAUGUGGGAGGCAGCUGAUUCCAGUUUCUUGGUCCGGGAUACAAAAAAGUGAAAACUAGAGAGAGCUUGGAGACCAGCCUUCAAAUUCAGGGAAAUUAGUUUGGAACUGACUAACUAUGAUGAGUUUUUCUUUAUGGUGGAAGUUACGAUGACGAGGAGUUCACAAAGGAAAGGGUUUAUUUUUUUGUCACUUCCGUUUGAUUCUAUUUAACAGCUCCGAGGGGACGCCCUUUGUUAAACAGCGGAGCACUUUCUUAUUGUCUGAUUAUAUGAAGCAAAUAUGCAUGGGACUAUAUAGAGAGUUUAUCGGUAGUUUUUAGCGGAGCACUGCAUUGUUGUUUGUUGUUUUCCAAACUCAGACUUGUACGCUAUGUUUGGGCUUGGGUUCACUAGAAUCAGUGAAGUUUUACUCAACGAAACCUGAUUUUACAACUUUGGCUUCUGAGUUACAGGGUUUGUUUUAAAUAAAAUGCAAGUUGC
Molecule: RNA transcript, 3361 nt
Organism: Rhododendron vialii
Lineage: Eukaryota; Viridiplantae; Streptophyta; Magnoliopsida; Ericales; Ericaceae
Gene name: 187-kDa microtubule-associated protein AIR9-like
Exons: 11
Source: RefSeq, a predicted model, not a curated record